RNAcentral lists this ribosomal RNA (1078 nucleotides) under Iodosphaeria honghensis. RNAcentral's name for it is "Iodosphaeria honghense partial small subunit ribosomal RNA". It matches the Rfam family "Eukaryotic small subunit ribosomal RNA", at positions 49 to 1143 of the family's 1831-position model. The record is from RNAcentral. Lineage: Eukaryota; Fungi; Ascomycota; Sordariomycetes; Amphisphaeriales; Iodosphaeriaceae.
GGACGCAUGUCAAGUAAAACCAAUUAUACGGGGAAACUGCGAAAUGGCUCACUUAAAUCACGUUAUCGUUCAUUUGAUAGUACCUUACUACUUGGAUAACCGGGGUAAUUCUAGAGCUAAUACAUGCUGAAAACCCCGACUCGCGGAGGGGGGUAUUUAUUAGAUUAAAAACCAAUGCCCUUCGGGGCUCCUUGGUGAUUCAUGAUAACUUCUCGAAUCGCAUGSCCUUGCGCCGGCGAUGGUUCAUUCAAAUUUCUGCCCUAUCAACUUUCGAUGGCAGGGUCUUGGCCUGCCAUGGUUACAACGGGUAACGGAGGGUUAGGGCUCGACCCCGGAGAAGGASCCUGAGAAACGSCUACUACAUCCAAGGAAGGCASCRGGCGCGCAAAUUACCCAAUCCCCGMCACGGGGAGGGUAGUGMCAAUAAAAUACURAUACAGGGCCCUUUKGGGUCUUGUAAUUGGAAUGAGUMCAAUUUAAAUCCCUUAACGAGGAMCAAUUGGAGGGCAAKUYUGGUSCCAGCASCCGCGGUAAUUCCAGCUCCAAUAGCGUAUAUUAAAGUUGUUGCAGUUAAAAAGCUYGUAGUUGAACCUUGGGCCUGGCUGGCCGGYCCGCCUCACCGCGUGCACUGGUUCGGCCGGSCCUUUCCCUSUGGGGASCCSCAUGCUCUUUACUGAGCGUGUCGGGGAACCAGGACUUUUACUGUGAAAAAAUUARAGUGUUCAAAGCAGGCAUUUGCUCGGAUMCAUUABCAUGGAAUAAUAGAAUAGRACGUGKGGUUCUAUUUUGUUGGUUUCUAGGWCCGCCGUAAUGAUUAAUAGGGACAGUCGGGGGCAUCAGUAUUCAWUUGUCAGAGGUGAAUUUCUUGGAUUUAUUGAAGACUAACUACUGCGAAAGCAUUUSCCARGGAUGUUUUCAUUAAUCAGGAMCGAAAGUUAGGGGAUSGAAGMCGAUCAGAUACCGUCGUAGUCUUACCCAUAAAUUAUGCCGAYUAGGGAUCGGCSGACGCUUUUUUWUGGCUCGUUCGGCACCUUACGAGAAAUCAAAAGUCUUUGGGUUCCUGGGGGAGUUAGCCCCC